RNAcentral lists this RNase P RNA (363 nucleotides) under Paracoccaceae bacterium. RNAcentral's name for it is "Rhodobacteraceae bacterium RNase P RNA component class A". It matches the Rfam family "Bacterial RNase P class A". Rfam says of the family: Ribonuclease P (RNase P) is a ubiquitous endoribonuclease, found in archaea, bacteria and eukarya as well as chloroplasts and mitochondria. Its best characterised activity is the generation of mature 5'-ends of tRNAs by cleaving the 5'-leader elements of precursor-tRNAs. The record is from RNAcentral. Lineage: Bacteria; Pseudomonadati; Pseudomonadota; Alphaproteobacteria; Rhodobacterales; Paracoccaceae.
GCGGAUAGUUGGAUGGCCGCGGCUAAUUUAGUCGAGGAAAGUCCGGACUCCACAAAGAAUGGUGCCGGUUAACGGCCGGCCAGGGUAACUUGAGGGAAAGCGCCACAGAAAAGAAACGUCCUGUUUUCAGGUCAAGGUGAAAUGGUGAGGUAAGAGCUCACCGCAAUUUUGGUAACAAGAUUGGCAAGGCAAGCCCCACCUGGAGCAAUGCCAAAUAGGAACUAUGUCCAACAAUCGUUGGGGAAGACUUUGCUUCCAAUAGUUCGGGUUGGCAGCUAAAGACUACUGGUAACGGUAGGACAAGAUGAAUGGUCAUUGCCGCUUAAAGCGGUACAGAAUCCGGCUUACAUGCUGUCCGCACAC